This 22-nucleotide microRNA is filed under the name Macaca fascicularis (crab-eating macaque). RNAcentral's name for it is "novel_miR18-3p". The record is from RNAcentral. Lineage: Eukaryota; Metazoa; Chordata; Mammalia; Primates; Cercopithecidae.
CAACACUGUACUGGAAGAUGGA